GAGAAGAAACGGCGGAGACCUGAGACCCGGAGGCUGAGGCUGUAGGUGGGCUCCGCUGGGUAAAAGUUGCCGCAGCAGCUGUCCCUUGGCCCCAUCGCGAUUUAUUUUUCCCCCUUGCUUUCCGGGUCCCGGGAUCCCAAGUUUGUAACUAACGGGAGCGAAUCCACACCCGAGCAAAAUGUUUGCGAGUUUCAGGCGCCCUUAGUUGAAAGGCUGUAAUUAACAAGUCCGCUGUUUGCCAGCCAGGCGCCGUUGCAGGCGCUUUCUGUGGAUUGUCAUUUAUUUCUCACAGCAACCCUAGGAGAUGAAAUUGAAUCAUGGAAGAAUGCCUUUAUCUGAGGAGUCAUCACCACUAGGGAGCUAUGGAGGCUGUUAUCCUUGACAUCUGCAGCAGCCCUUCCAAGCUGUGGAGACCAGGUCAUCUGGAAUGCCCAUUUAUGUCAAUGGAAGAAAGAAAAAGGGGUCUCCUCCCAUCCUCACCACUGCAUUCUCCCACCAACCCUGCUCCUGUCCCACUUCCCACAACUCAGUUGUUGACAAUUUAACAGUGGGUUUCUGGAAACAGUGCUGCCUCCUUGAUGGUCUAACUAACUACCAGAGUUAUUCUAACAGCAGGAAUUUCAAGCCAGGUAAGGGGAGCUAUGUCAGGCUGCCAGAUGGUGGGGAAGACAGGUGUGGGUGAGCUGGCUUCAGACUAAAGGAAGAGGAGAUCAAGUGUUGGAAUCACAUUUGAGAAAAGGAGUCAAGUGAACUUCAUUACCCAUUAUAGAGGCCUGUUAUAUCCUUUAGUGCUAUUUGGACUUGGAUUGAACCUGUGACAAAUCCUUUUCUUAUGCUUCUUCCAUCCCUGCUUCCAUGUUAUAUCCUUUCCCCUUCUAAAAUGGUAAUAAUGAGAAAUAACUAUUACUAAUUACCCUAGAACAUAAAUUUCAUUUAAGGUGUCACAAUCAGAUUAUCAUCUUCAGUUUUUCAGAGCCGCAAACUUCCCAUGGUUAUAUGCAGGUAGUACUAAAUGGAUGGAUCUGGGAUCAAACUCAGGGCUUUCUGACUUUAAAAGUCUUGUUCUGCUACCCUCCAAGUGGCCUAGGGUGAUUUGCCCUAAACGGUUCACCUCUGUAUGAUGAUGCAUCCAUGCAGUGGGGCUUAUGGAAAGUGAAUGUGGAGCCUCAGGGCCUUAAUCUUGAAGCAGGCUCUCUAGAAGGGAGCUUGCAGAAGGAGUGGGGACUCGAUGAGAUGCUGUUUUCUCAUUGUGUUUCAGUGAUGACUGAAAAUUUGUUGCCAGCGUCUAUCUGGAAACAAUGUUUUGAUGAUCCACCACCCCAUCCCUCCAAACCACUUUCUUGCACAUACUCCAGAAUAAUAGACAGAAGAAUUUAAUACAUGUGAUGCUUUGCCUUCCAUUUACACUAUCAUAAAUUACAAAGUAUUGUUCACUUCACAAAAUAAAACCAUUUCCAGAUAAUUUUUUGACAGUAUCAAGAAGUACAUAAACUACAACAAACAAAUCUGUACAGUUGGGAGGAGGGAUAAUAGCAGGGAAGAGGUCAAACCUCCCUGUGCCAAUGGAGUCCAUCUGCAUAGCCCUUGGGACUGUCCAGGUCAACAGUCACACAAUGAUGCUCCACGUAAAAUAGUCAUUCUCUUCUGCUCACUCCAAAGCAAGACUGGUGAGUUUACACAAAUCAUCUCAAUCAAAGGAAAAGACAUUGCAGUUGGAUUUUUUAAAAAUCUAGAUUUACAGUUUUUGAUGUUUUAAAUAUUUCACCUAUGUUACAAAAUAUAGAAAUCUUGGUGUGAAAGGCUCAUGCUAAGAUAAAUAUAACCAAGUGACUGGAACUGUAGUAAUAAAAUCAUAUUAUCCACACAGAGCUACUUUUGUCAAGGAGGAACAAAUAUUUGGUAAAAACCAACCUUAUUCUCACUUUAAAAAAUAGGUUUGUAAAACAAGAAUGAAAAACGUUGACAGUUAUUCUGCAGAUUCGCUUUUCACCAAUACAGAAAUGUGGCAAAAAUACAAUUUGAUAUUAACAGAUGAAUUCAGAGGGCUUGGCCAGGAAGAAAAGAGGGUAAGUGCUAACUUUUUACACAGACCAGAUACAUCCAGUGUUCUCAAAUAAUUUCAGGUAAAAUGACCGCAUUCUGUAUCUUCUGGGAUACACACUCAUGAUACGAAAAGACUAUGACCAAUUCCAAAGCAUACUUUGGGAAUUCACAAAAUUUGUAUGCAUAGAAAGUGUGUGGACAUUUCAGACCAUCCUACAAUUGCUAUAAAUACAUACCAUACAAUAGAAGAAUGCCAAUGCUUAAGAGCAAAAACUAUCCAAAGCAGGAACACAAGGGGCAGGUGAAAUUUCAUUAAAAAGCACUGAGGAGGACAGAGGUAUGUCAAGAUAAUACUGCAUUUGUGGUCAGCUUUUUCAGGGUGUCACAGCAAAAUGAGGGACAAGGUACACAGGGUAAUAACCAAUGCACUGCAUUGAGUUCUAUUUGCUAAAAAUAACAACAUUCUCGUGGGUAAAAUAAAAAUACAUUUUACGAUACACGUUUCAUUUAACAGAAUUGUCUUCUUUUUGUAAGUGGAAAAUGUAUAACUGUAUCAAGUACCUGUAUGAAUUAAGUUCCCUUUUAUUACCAAUAAGACUGAAGUUUAAAGGUCUACAUUGUUUUUUAAUAAAUUAAAGAUGUAUUAAUCACUCUUCCAGCAAACCAGACAUACAUAGGAGGCACAGCAAAAGACCCAAGGUGAGGGGCUUCCCUCACCUUCACCCUUGUUCUCACGUGGAGGUGGCGCAUGUCUAUGAGACACAGUACCCCACUCAGCGAUCCUCUGCAGUCCAGGAAAUUCUAGCACUUGCUUGGAAAACAAAUCAAGUGGUAAGAAAUGUUUUUAUUCCUUUAGCUGUGUCAACUUGGAUGGUGCUGGGGCCAUUCAGCUCAUUUCCCUGAUGGAUUAGAAUAAAACGUCUUCGUUUUCUAUUAAAAUCUGCACAAUCAGCUUUUGGUACCGCAUAUCAUGCAGGGUGGUCAGGGUGCUGUCCUCAGGGGGCCUCAUCAGAGUGGGCCCAAACACGAUCCCCAGAUUUUCUGCAUUCAUGAAAUUGUCUUUUUCAUUCAUAGUAACCCUGCAAAACAAACAUAUAGAACAGAGACAUUAUGGAGACUUGAGGAUUGAUUUUAUGUAUUGAUUAUGUAUGUAAGUCCCGAUAACAUCUCUGGUUCAGGAAAUUGCAAGAAAAAGAUUGGGAAUCAGAACAGCAGAAAGGUAUUUUUGGAAGGGUAAUUUACUGAUUUUUCGUUUUAAAUUGUUGACAUUGCCUUCGCCGGUGGAAAUGAAUUACUUAUGUGAAUCUGGCAGGAACACAAUUUUUAAAAUUAGAAAAUUAGUCCUCCUUAUUAAGUAAAUGUGGAACUAUCAUUUGAGGAAUACUGGUUUGUAGGGGCAGCAGAUUCUGAGGCUGGCCCAUGGUCCUUUCAUAGGCCUUAUACAGAAGGCGUUUUUUUUUUCCCUCUUGUGGCUUCCUGCUGGUCUGUAUGCUGGAGAGUGGGAAGGGAAGGGCAGGAUCCCUCUCUGCUGGGAGGACCGGUGCCAGAGGAGAAAGGUUAUGUGUAGAAUGGGCUGUCAUGAAUUGAGGAAGAGUCAGGCCGUUAUCGUGGGGUGGGGGAACGGCUGGAAUGUCGCCAGACUGGACGGCAGUUGGACAUUAUUUCUAGUUCCCACAGGAUGAGGUCUACAGCAGUUGAAAUUAAAAAUCAUUUCGACAUCCAGGUAAGAACUGCAGAGCCUUUAAGAAUAAAAUUCAAACUGCAAAGCUGGUUUAACACCUUCCUCAUGGAAUAAAAUUACAAUCUAUCUAUCUCCCAGAGUUUUGUUUUCACAACUUUAAGUUUUAGAAUGUUCAUAAUAGAUGUAAAAGGGAAUGGGUUCUCCAAAAAUGAGCAAAAUAUAAUUAAAAUGUGUUUAGGAAAAUAUAAUUAAAAUGUGUUUAGGUUGUGCAUAAAAAGCCAUCCCUUUCUAUUUCCUUAUAACUCAUUAGGAUUAGCCAUUGAGUAUUAUUUUAAGGUCAACCCAGUUUGUGUCAUGUACAUGCCACAAAGCCUAAGAAGAAGGUUGGAAAGAGGACGUUUCUCACCAUCAAAGUGCCCACAGUUUCCUCUUAAGUCAGGCACUAUGCCUGACUAAACAAGAUGGCUGGCAAACCCACUAUGAUAAAGAUACAGUAUUAUUGGCAUUUAAGGUUCAGCUGAAAGGUGUCAGCAUUUUUCUGGUAGUGGUACUUUGCCUUCCAAACUGUAACAACUGGAUAUUGAUCACAAUAAGUAUUUUACAGCUAAUUGAAAGCCAGAUGUGAUACCCAUAGUUUAUUAUCUAAAAAUUACUUGCACUCCUAAAUUCAGUAAAUUAAUCAGAAUGGGAAUAUUCUGAGCUAAAUGUUACCAUCACCCUGAAUCUGAGCAACAAUAUUGUAUGUCUUCUUGUAUGUCUUAUAAGGUAGAAAAAUAAAAAUCUCAAUACCUACUGUUUAUACAGUCCUCCGUUUGCUUCUUUUCACAUACUAAGUAGAUCUGUAAACUGGUCAAUGUAGACAAUUUUCGGUUCAUUUUAUUUUUAUCAAAGAAUGGGCUGCUGCCAAGUAUCUUUCAAAAACACAGAGGCACACAGAUGUGCCCUGAUCCCUCCAAUGUUAUAACACCAAUUCAUCGACCUCAUUACACAUGUGCAGUGAAAGAGAGAGACACAAGGUUUAGGGAGAAUAGUGUCACCAGAGGUUCUAGUGUCCCAUAAACAUCCAGACGUCUCCAUCUCUGUCUCCCACACACUCACGCAGACAGCUGUGUGUGUGGCAGGUACUCUCUGAGAUGGACCUCAGCGAUCCAUGCCUCCUGGAAUUCAUACCCUGCAUCCCUUCCCCUAAAGUAUGGGAUGGACUUGAUUUGCUUCUAACAGAUAAAACACGGUAAAAGCAAUAGGAUGUCACUUCUGAGAUUAGCUUACAAAAAGACUGUCUCUCAUAUUGGGUGCUCUUGCUUUUUUGUUCUGAGAGAAGCCUGUUGGCUUUUUGUGAGCUGCCUAUGGAGAAAUGCACAUGGCAAGGAACUGAGGGUUGCCUCCAGCAAACUGCUGGUGAGGGAGUGAGGCCUUCAGUCCAACAGCCUUUAAGGAACUGAAUCCUGCCAACAACCAUGUGAGUGGGCUUGGAGAUGGAUGCUACCACCAUCAAGCCUUCAGGAGUGAAUUUUUUUGUUCUUGAGACAGCGUCUCAUUCUGUUGCCCAGGAUGGAGUACAGUGGUGCCAUCUUCGCUCACUGCAGCCUUCGUCUCCCGGGUUCAAGCAAUUCUCCUGUCUCAGCCUCCCAAGUAGCUGGGAUUACAGACCCAUCAAGCCUUCAGAUAAGACUGCAGCCUCAUUACAGACCUUGAACUGGAGGCAGCCAGCUGAGUCACACCUGGAUUCCUGACCCUUAGAAACUAUGAGAUAAUAAAUGUUUACAGUUUUAAGCCA
RNAcentral lists this long non-coding RNA (5501 nucleotides) under Homo sapiens (human). RNAcentral describes it as "PRR15 divergent transcript, transcript variant 1 (PRR15-DT)". The record is from RNAcentral. Lineage: Eukaryota; Metazoa; Chordata; Mammalia; Primates; Hominidae.